This 351-nucleotide ribosomal RNA is filed under the name uncultured bacterium. RNAcentral describes it as "partial 16S ribosomal RNA". It matches the Rfam family "Bacterial small subunit ribosomal RNA", at positions 338 to 707 of the family's 1533-position model. The record is from RNAcentral.
CCUACUGGUGGCAGCCGUGGGGGAUAUUGCACAAUGGAGGAAACUCUGAUGCAGCGACGCCGCGUUAGGGCAGACGGUCUUCGGAUUGUAAACCUCUGUCUUUGGGGAAGAAAAUGACGGUACCCAAAGAGGAAGCUCCGGCUAACGACGUGCCCGCAGCCUCGGUAAUACGUAGGGAGCGAGCGUUGUUCGGAAUUACUUGGUGUAAAGGGCGCGUAGGCGGGCGAGAAAGUUGAAUGUUAAAUCUACCGGCUUAACUGGUAGCGGUGUUCAAAAAUUCUUGUCUUGAGGGAAGUAGAGGCAGGCGGGAUGCCUAGGGUAGCGGUGAAAUGUGUAGAUAUUAUGAGGAAC